This is a long non-coding RNA of Mesocricetus auratus (golden hamster), 2081 nucleotides long. RefSeq lists it as uncharacterized. Lineage: Eukaryota; Metazoa; Chordata; Mammalia; Rodentia; Cricetidae. The transcript has 2 exons. The record is from RefSeq and is a predicted model, not a curated record.
GCGGAGCCGGAGGGGGCGGGCCUGGAAAUGACGCUGGGGCCCCGCCCCCGCGGCGGGAGGGGCGCGAGGCCUGGGCUGUUCCUGGUUCCCCCGCAGCGGCUGCAGCCCCCCGGGGCUCGGUCGGGGCCUAGGCCGCCUGCCCCCACUCCGCGGCCUGGAGCAACCUUGGGAUUUUCGGCCGGCGUGGCGGACACGGCUGAUUCACCCGGGGGCUUUUGUGGGGACAUUCCUGCCGUCGGAGGCCUCUUUCCGAACGGCCCGUAGGCGGGGGCUCUUCCAGUGGGGCCCCCGGGGUGCUGCCCAGAGACUGCGACAGAGCCUGGGGUGGGGAAAGGAGUGCCCCCCUCCCCGGGCUCUAGCGACCCCGGAGCAUCUCAGUUUCCCGGAGUCCCCCGCUGCACCUGCUCCGGGCGACCGGCCCUGGAGACCCCAAUGCCACAACCAUCCCUAACACGCGUGCCCGCGACAGGAGUGUGCGUUUCGGCCCUAGAGUCUAGAGUGCGUGGGGAGUGCGAGCGCUGGCCGCUUGCACGUGCGAGUGAGCGUCGGUCCGCACAGCUCCGGGGUCCUAACUGCUUAUCUGCCAGUGAGCAUCUUCCUGGGGAGGGGCAUACCAGCAUCAGGAGCAUCAGCCCUGGCUGUGGCCUGUAGAGCAUCUGGAGGCUUCACCCCUGAGCCAAUGCACUCCAGCAACGUGAAGAGGGUGGCCCAGUCGUCACCAGAGUGGAUGUUGGCUGCAUUGGUCUUGAGGAGUUCAUGGAGCCCGUAGGCAACCUGGUGGCUGACCCUGGACAGCACGCUGGGCUUCAUCAGUAACAAGAUGCGCAGGGACAGCAGGACCUGGGAUGGGACAAACACAGAUACAGUCUUCCCCAUUAGUCACUUAGGUAGUAAGGAGAGUUGGCUGAGCUAGCCUUGUCUUCUUUUCUUUUGGAGUACUGGGAUUGAACCCUGGGCCUUACACCCUUGACCAUGCAUCAUUUUUUUAUAUUGGUAUUCUUAUUAAUUAUAUGUUCACAUAUAGUUAUAACAACACAUAAAGAGUUUCCUUAUGGUUGGGUGGUGGUGAUGUACACUUUUAAUCCCAGCACUUGGCAGGCAGAGAGAGGCAAGUGGAUAUCUGAAUUUGAGGUCAGCCUGGUCUAAAGAGCGAGUUCCAGUGCAGGCUCCAAAGCAAUACAGAGAAACCCUGUCUUAAAAAAAAAAAAUCAAAAAAGAAGAAAAAAGAAAAAAAGAAAAAGAGCUUCCUUGCAUUACGUUGUCUAGUCUAUCCCAAAAACAAUGAUGUAGAACUAACCAUAACAUGUCAAUAAGGACAGAAUUAGGAAUAAUCUACUGGUUUCCACUGGCUUUCCCAUGUGUACUAUGAUGUGCUUAGUCCUACAUGAAGGGACCCACGCUGCUGCUGGAGAGCUACAUUUCUAAUCCUUGUCUCCUGUCCCAUCCCUAAUCCUCAGCAAUCUGUCCUCAACUUCUAAAAUUCUGUGAAUUCCAAAUGUUAUCUAGAUAGAAUUAUCGCUUACCCCUGGUCUCCCCGACCUGGAGAUCCACCUACAUCUUUACACAUCAGGUUUGCUGCUCUAAGUAGCUGAAUAGCAUUUCACCGUAUGUUCGUACCACAGUUUAUUCCCUUACGGCAAGUCGUCAGGCUGACUCCAGCUUUUGGCUUUAACUACUACAGCUUCAGUGAACAUUUAUACAUAUAUUUAAGUUAAAAUAAGCCUUCAUUUUUUUCUGGGAUAAAUGCCCAAAAGUGUAUUUUCUGGGUUGUAUGGUAAGUGAAUAUUCAGUUUCAUAAUAAACUGCCAUUAGAGUAGCUACAUUAUUUUUUAUUCCCAUAAGAAAUGUAUGAAUAAUCUAGUUUCUCUGUGUCCUUGCCAGCAUUUGGUAUUAUCACUUUUAAUUUUAGCUGUUCUGGUAAGUACAUAGUGGUGUGUGUUAUUUUUUGCAUUUUUCUAAUGGCAAAUGUUAUUUCACAGGCUUAUUGGCCAUUUGUAUAUCAUCUGUGAAAUAUUUCUUUUUUUCCAUGUUUGCAUUUUGAUACUAGGCUUUUCUCAAGUACAUGAUUUAUAAACAUUUUA